Molecule: transfer RNA, 91 nt
Filed under: Actinoplanes derwentensis
Lineage: Bacteria; Bacillati; Actinomycetota; Actinomycetes; Micromonosporales; Micromonosporaceae
Description: tRNA-Pro
Source: RNAcentral
GCCGGCCUGGGUGAAGGUGACCGUUCCGUGGGCCGGGGCGGUGACCGCGGCCAGGGUCAGCGUGUCACCGUUCGGGUCGGUGUCGUUGGUG